AAACCAAGAAGAUUGAGUCAUGCAUUUUUGGUAAAAAGACAGUUAAGCGCUUUAAAGCUUGUUUAAUUAUUAUUAAGAAGUAAAAUUCGCAAAUAAUCUAGAAACUUAGUCAAGGCUAAAAAGCUGAAGCUGUGACAUCCUUGAGGGAAACUGGGAUUAGAUACCCCACUAUUCUUGGAAGUAAAAAAAUAUACAUAUAUUUACCAGAGUACUAUGGAUCAAUGAUAUUUAAAACUCAAAGAGCUUGGCGGUGUUUUAGACUCUUUAGGGGAACCUGUCUCAUAAUCGACAAUCCACGUAAAACCUGACCUUUAUUUGCUAUCAGUUUGUAUACCGUCGUCGUCAGGUAACUUUUUAGAAUAAAGAAGUUAGCGAGAGAACUUAAUAUAAGUUCUUACGUCAGAUCAAGGUGCAGCCAAUAUAGAGGGGAGGAUGGGUUACAAUUAUAAUAAUCAUAAUCACGAAAUAACAAUUUUAAAUAUUAGUUAUGAAGGAGGACUUAAAAGUAAAAUAAGAUAUACAAAUGUAUUGAAUCGAGCUCUGAAACGUGC
RNAcentral lists this ribosomal RNA (551 nucleotides) under Agnewia tritoniformis. Its description in RNAcentral is "partial 12S ribosomal RNA". The record is from RNAcentral. Lineage: Eukaryota; Metazoa; Mollusca; Gastropoda; Neogastropoda; Muricidae.